GUCACCGCCAUCGCCGGGCUCGGUACCCUGACUGGCAUGGCUUCUAUCUCUGACCGGGAGAGCGGGGCCGCCGAGAACGAGGGAUCCGAGCAACCCCCCUCCCCGGCCGGCUGCACGUGUUAUGCGGAGGGCUCCCUCCUGGUCCUCUCCGGGCGCCCCCAACCCGCCACAAUGUUGCCAAUCCCCCCACGAGGCUCCCGGUCUCCAUCAUACCCCCACUCCAGAAUCCCUCACACCGCCAGUGCCCCUCACCACCCCCCACACCGCCAGUGCCCCCCUCACCAGAACCCCC
Non-coding RNA from Pelobates cultripes (western spadefoot toad), 292 nucleotides. Lineage: Eukaryota; Metazoa; Chordata; Amphibia; Anura; Pelobatidae. The record is from the annotation of a GenBank genome assembly.